Molecule: ribosomal RNA, 315 nt
Filed under: uncultured bacterium
Lineage: Bacteria
Description: bacterial SSU rRNA
Rfam family: Bacterial small subunit ribosomal RNA
Source: RNAcentral
GAUGAACGCUGGCGGCGUGCCUAACACAUGCAAGUCGAGCGGGGACAUGGAGGAGCUUGCUCCGAAGUGUUCCAGCAGCGGACGGGUGAGUAACGCGUGAGCAAUCUGUCCUGUACAGGGGGAUAACAGAUGGAAACAUCUGCUAAUACCGCAUGGGACCACAGCUUCGCAUGGAGCAGGGGUCAAAGGAGAAAUCCGGUACAGGGUGAGCUCGCGUCUGAUUAGCUAGUUGGUGAGGUAACGGCCCACCAAGGCGACGAUCAGUAGCCGACCUGAGAGGGUGAUCGGUCACAUUGGAACUGAGACACGGUCCAA